UACGGGGGGAGCAAGCGUUGUUCGGAUUUACUGGGCGUAAAGGGCGCGUAGGCGGCCACCGCAAGUCGACUGUGAAAUCUCCGGGCUUAACCCGGAAAGGUCAGCCGAUACUGCGGGGCUAGAGUGCAGAAGGGGCAACUGGAAUUCUCGGUGUAGCGGUGAAAUGCGUAGAUAUCGAGAGGAACACCUGCGGCGAAGGCGGGUUGCUGGGCUGACACUGACGCUGAGGCGCGAAAGCGUGGGGAGCGAACCGG
Molecule: ribosomal RNA, 254 nt
Filed under: uncultured bacterium
Lineage: Bacteria
Description: partial 16S ribosomal RNA
Rfam family: Bacterial small subunit ribosomal RNA
Source: RNAcentral